Molecule: ribosomal RNA, 484 nt
Filed under: uncultured bacterium
Lineage: Bacteria
Description: partial 16S ribosomal RNA
Rfam family: Bacterial small subunit ribosomal RNA
Source: RNAcentral
AUUGAACGCUAGCGGCAGGCCUAACACAUGCAAGUCGAGCGGAUGAAGGGAGCUUGCUCCUGGAUUCAGCGGCGGACGGGUGAGUAAUGCCUAGGAAUCUGCCUGGUAGUGGGGGAUAACGUCCGGAAACGGGCGCUAAUACCGCAUACGUCCUGAGGGAGAAAGUGGGGGAUCUUCGGACCUCACGCUAUCAGAUGAGCCUAGGUCGGAUUAGCUAGUUGGUGGGGUAAAGGCCUACCAAGGCGACGAUCCGUAACUGGUCUGAGAGGAUGAUCAGUCACACUGGAACUGAGACACGGUCCAGACUCCUACGGGAGGCAGCAGUGGGGAAUAUUGGACAAUGGGCGAAAGCCUGAUCCAGCCAUGCCGCGUGUGUGAAGAAGGUCUUCGGAUUGUAAAGCACUUUAAGUUGGGAGGAAGGGCAGUAAGUUAAUACCUUGCUGUCUUGACGUUACCAACAGAAUAAGCACCGGCUAACUUCGUG